Molecule: ribosomal RNA, 253 nt
Filed under: uncultured bacterium
Lineage: Bacteria
Description: partial 16S ribosomal RNA
Rfam family: Bacterial small subunit ribosomal RNA
Source: RNAcentral
GCAAGUCGAGGGGUAACAUAGGGUGCUUGCACCCUGAUGACGACCGGCGCACGGGUGCGUAACGCGUAUAGAACCUACCUUUUACAGAGGGAUAGCCUUUAGAAAUGAAGAUUAAUACCUCAUAGUACUAUAGAUUCGCAUGAAUUUAUACUUAAAGAUUUAUCGGUAAAAGAUGGCUAUGCGUCCUAUUAGCUAGAUGGUAAGGUAACGGCUUACCAUGGCAACGAUAGGUAGGGGUCCUGAGAGGGAGAUC